GACGAACGCUGGCGGCGUGCUUAACACAUGCAAGUCGAACGGAAAGGCCCUGCUUUUGUGGGGUGCUCGAGUGGCGAACGGGUGAGUAACACGUGAGUAACCUGCCCUUGACUUUGGGAUAACUUCAGGAAACUGGGGCUAAUACCGGAUAGGAGCUCCUGCUGCAUGGUGGGGGUUGGACAGUUUCGGCGGUUGGGGAUGGACUCGCGGCUUAUCAGCUUGUUGGUGGGGUAGUGGCUUACCAAGGCUUUGACGGGUAGCCGGCCUGAGAGGGUGACCGGGGACAUUGGGACUGAGAUACGGCCCAGACUCCUACGGGAGGCAGCAGUGGGGAAUAUUGCACAAUGGGCGGAAGCCUGAUGCAGCAACGCCGCGUGCGGGAUGACGGCCUUCGGGUUGUAAACCGCUUUCGCCUGUGACGAAGCGUGAGUGACGGUAAUGGGUAAAGAAGCACCGGCUAACUACGUG
RNAcentral lists this ribosomal RNA (468 nucleotides) under uncultured bacterium. RNAcentral's name for it is "partial 16S ribosomal RNA". It matches the Rfam family "Bacterial small subunit ribosomal RNA", at positions 28 to 507 of the family's 1533-position model. The record is from RNAcentral.